Podarcis lilfordi (Lilford's wall lizard) is the source of this 74-nucleotide non-coding RNA. The record is from the annotation of a GenBank genome assembly. NCBI's taxonomy places the organism in Eukaryota, Metazoa, Chordata, Lepidosauria, Squamata, Lacertidae.
AUACACACACACACACACUAUAUAUAUAUAUAUAUAUAUAUAUAUAUAUAUAUAGUGUGUGUGUGUGUGUAUAU